GUGAGUGGAAGGGUGGUUUCCGCGGCUUUUGUGUCGUGAGGAAAGUCCCCCCACCUCCGGGUAGGGAAUGUCGAGAGGACUUAGGAUGAGAGUCUUGGCUCUGGUAUAGAAACGACACGGCCCGCAUGGAGUUAUGAUGCGUUUUUGCGUUGAGUGUUGAUGUGUGGGAAUCGAUGGAACGACGAAUCCUCCUUGGUGCAAGUCCAAAAUUGGGUUAUGGGUUGCCCGGCCUUAUCCCAGGUAGGACGCUUAGCGAAAUACCACCACCAACUAUUUGGUUGGGAACAGAAGGGGGCUUACUCUCCACACAC
RNAcentral lists this RNase P RNA (311 nucleotides) under Methanonatronarchaeum sp. AMET-Sl. RNAcentral describes it as "RNase P RNA component". It matches the Rfam family "Archaeal RNase P". From Rfam's summary of the family: Ribonuclease P (RNase P) is a ubiquitous endoribonuclease, found in archaea, bacteria and eukarya as well as chloroplasts and mitochondria. Its best characterised activity is the generation of mature 5'-ends of tRNAs by cleaving the 5'-leader elements of precursor-tRNAs. The record is from RNAcentral. Lineage: Archaea; Methanobacteriati; Methanobacteriota; Methanonatronarchaeia; Methanonatronarchaeales; Methanonatronarchaeaceae.